AGAGUUUGAUCAUGGCUCAGAUUGAACGCUGGCGGUAUGCUUAACACAUGCAAGUCGAACGGUAACGAUGCUAGCUUGCUAGCAGGCGACGAGUGGCGGACGGGGGAGUAACGCGUGGGAAUCUACCUUUUAGUUCGGGACAGCCUGGUGAAAACCAGGCUAAUACCGAAUGAGGUCUACGGACGAAAGCAGGGGAUCUUCGGACCUUGCGCUAUUAGAUGAGCCCGCGUUAGAUUAGCUAGUUGGUGGGGUAAAGGCCUACCAAGGCGACGAUCUAUAGCUGGUCUGAGAGGACGAUCAGCCACACUGGGACUGAGACACGGCCCAGACUCCUACGGGAGGCAGCAGUGGGGAAUAUUGGACAAUGGGGGCAACCCUGAUCCAGCAAUACCGCGUGUGUGAAGAAGGCCUGCGGGUUGUAAAGCACUUUCAAUUGUGAAGAAAAGAUUAAGGUUAAUAACCUUAGUCCUUGACGUUAACUUUAGAAGAAGCACCGGCUAACUCCGUGCCAGCAGCCGCGGUAAUACGGAGGGUGCGAGCGUUAAUCGGAAUUACUGGGCGUAAAGCGUGCGUAGGCGGUUAUUUAAGUCAGAUGUGAAAGCCCAGGGCUUAACCUUGGAACUGCAUUUGAAACUGGAUAACUAGAGUUUGGUAGAGGUGAGUAGAAUUCCUAGUGUAGCGGUGAAAUGCGUAGAUAUUAGGAGGAAUACCAGUGGCGAAGGCGGCUCACUGGACCAAAACUGACGCUGAGGCACGAAAGCGUGGGGAGCAAACGGGAUUAGAUACCCCGGUAGUCCACGCCGUAAACGAUGUCAACUAGUCGUUGGGCCUUUCGGGGCUUAGUGACGCAGCUAACGCGUGAAGUUGACCGCCUGGGGAGUACGGCCGCAAGGCUAAAACUCAAAUGAAUUGACGGGGGCCCGCACAAGCGGUGGAGCAUGUGGUUUAAUUCGAUGCAACGCGAAGAACCUUACCUACCCUUGACAUCAUCAGAACUUGUUAGAGAUAACUCGGUGCCUUCGGGAACUGAAUGACAGGUGCUGCAUGGCUGUCGUCAGCUCGUGUCGUGAGAUGUUGGGUUAAGUCCCGUAACGAGCGCAACCCUUAUCCUUAGUUGCCAGCACAUAAUGGUGGGAACUCUAGGGAGACUGCCGGUGAUAAACCGGAGGAAGGUGGGGACGACGUCAAGUCAUCAUGGCCCUUAUGGGUAGGGCUACACACGUGCUACAAUGGCCAGUACAGAGGGUUGCGAACUCGCGAGAGUAAGCUAAUCCCAGAAAGCUGGUCCUAGUCCGGAUUGGAGUCUGCAACUCGACUCCAUGAAGCUGGAAUCGCUAGUAAUCGCGGAUCAGAAUGCCGCGGUGAAUACGUUCCCGGGCCUUGUACACACCGCCCGUCACACCAUGGGAGUGGGUUGCAAAAGAAGUGGGUAGACUAACCUUCGGGAGGUCGCUCACCACUUUGUGAUUCAUGACUGGGGUGAAGUCGAAACAAGGUUA
RNAcentral lists this ribosomal RNA (1499 nucleotides) under uncultured prokaryote. RNAcentral's name for it is "partial 16S ribosomal RNA". It matches the Rfam family "Bacterial small subunit ribosomal RNA". The record is from RNAcentral.